CCUACGGGAGGCAGCAGUGAGGAAUCUUGGUCAAUGGGCGGAAGCCUGAACCAGCCAAGUAGCGUGCAGGAUGACGGCCCUACGGGUUGUAAACUGCUUUUAUACGGGAAUAACGCGCCUUACGUGUAGGGCUUUGCAUGUACCGUAUGAAUAAGGACCGGCUAAUUCCGUGCCAGCAGCCGCGGUAAUACGGAAGGUCCGGGCGUUGUCCGGAUUUUUUGGGUGUAAAGGGAGCGUAGGCCGCAUGUCAAGCGUGCUGUGAAAUGUCCGGGCUCAACCCGGGCCGUGCAGCGCGAACUGGCGUGCUUGAGUCCGCGGAAGGCAGGCGGAAUUCGUCGUGGAGCGGUGAAAUGCUUAGAUAUGACGAAGAACCCCGAUUGCGAAGGCAGCUUGCUGCAGCGGAACUGACGCUGAUGCUCGAAAGCGCGGGUAUCGAACAGGAUUAGUUACCCGUGUAGUC
This 460-nucleotide ribosomal RNA is filed under the name uncultured bacterium. Its description in RNAcentral is "partial 16S ribosomal RNA". It matches the Rfam family "Bacterial small subunit ribosomal RNA", at positions 338 to 795 of the family's 1533-position model. The record is from RNAcentral.